Molecule: transfer RNA, 65 nt
Filed under: Lophophysema eversa
Lineage: Eukaryota; Metazoa; Porifera; Hexactinellida; Amphidiscosida; Hyalonematidae
Description: tRNA-Asp
Source: RNAcentral
AGACUGUAGUUUAUCAAAACCAUUACUUGUCAAGUAAUAAAUGAGAAGAAAAUCCUCCUGUCUAG